This 1139-nucleotide long non-coding RNA is filed under the name Equus caballus (horse). RNAcentral's name for it is "lncRNA (ENSECAG00000050288.1)". The record is from RNAcentral. Lineage: Eukaryota; Metazoa; Chordata; Mammalia; Perissodactyla; Equidae.
CGGCAGCCCCUCCCCUCCUGCGCCUGAGCCAAGUUUGGAAACAUCCUCCGUCCAUGCCCAGCGAGGGUCACAGAGGAUGCUGACGUCGCUAAUAUUGUUACUGUCUCUCUCCCCUAAGAUACAAUGAAAAGGACAUUCCUAAACCAACAGAGGACAUUCACACAACAUAAUAGACAUCUGAGAGAUCCAUACAGCCAUACGUCUGAAGGUGGGGGUGGUGGAUCCCCCCAGGAGACAGCGGAAGGAGGUGUGGAUGUAGCCUCUGCUUAGUGUUAUAAGCAGUUCGAGGAUGGUGCUUUGGGAUUCAGUAGCAUCUGACCGUGCAAAGGCCCUGAUGGGGAAGCUGUGCGAGAUUUGUUGGGCCACAGAAAGACACACACCAGAUCUGGCCCUUGGUUUUCCACUGUAGCACAAGCGUGGAACCAGGUCACCCUGCUGCUACUCUGAUCUUACCGCUCAUUAAGAUCAUCGUGCUCAUCUGGCUCCUGACGGCUGCAUGCAUCCCCCUGGCCCCUCUGAUGUCAGCGUCUCAUCAUCCCCAUCGCUAUCAGAGAGCCCGGUUGUCUAACAGCAUCUUCUCCCAUGGCCUGAGCCUAAAGAAGACAGCCAACCUCUGAGCUUCUUGGAGAAGAGGAGGCCAUUCACAACAGUACAUUCCUUUCUACUUUGUUGAAUGGAAUGUCCUUCAGGCUCUCCCAUGCAACUUAGCUCUCCAGUGGAGUUUCCACAGAGAGACACCAGCGCUUCAUAAAGAGAAGUGACCACUUCUACAGACUCAGAGAGUUCACAGAAAUAUGAAGAUUCAAGAUCUUCAGGAGCAUCGACCAGACAUUCCCAUCCCAUAUGUUAGGGGCUCAUUCUGCCCCCAGGAUCAGCCCUGCGUCUACCGGAAGUACCGCCCCUUCACGUUUUGCUUCCUUGUGGAUCCUAAGGAAAGACAAAGGUUUCGUCCACAGCCAGUGCCUGAGGCCUCUACAGUUUCCAGUAUUAGCAACAGGCAUCAAAGUAGAAGCUGUAGCUCCUCUCCAGAAAGCAGCUUUCAAAAACUAAAGUAUGGGAAGUUUUCGUACUGGCUUCCUGGUCUGCUGUUCCUUUGGUUUAUUUUGUUUUCGUUUUUAGCUUUGACUUGCCAGGAUGGG